Macaca mulatta (Rhesus monkey) is the source of this 2375-nucleotide non-coding RNA. Lineage: Eukaryota; Metazoa; Chordata; Mammalia; Primates; Cercopithecidae. The record is from RefSeq and is a predicted model, not a curated record.
GGGCCCGUGGGACCUGGGUCCGGACCCAGAAGCCGCUGAGUGGGCCCGUGGGACCUGGGUCCGGACCCAGAAGCCGCUGAGUGGGCCCGUGGGACCUGGGUCCGGACCCAGAAGCCGCUGAGUGGGCCCGUGGGACCUGGGUCCGGACCCAGAAGCCUGCUCUGCUCGCAGUGGAUAACUUUCUUUCUGAAGUUCAUUUUCCAAGGACAAAGGGAUCAUUAGGACAAACUAUUAUUACUGCUUCAUGGUGGAGAUGCUUCUGGUUUCUGUUGUGGCUGCCGCUGUUAUUUGGAGUGCCUCACCAAGCCGGCUGACAACUGCCCCACUUGCCCUUCAGGAUGCAAAGCCCUCUUCUCUAAAAUGCCUGCCGGGCCAGGUGCAGUGGCUCACGCCUGACCUCCCAACACUUUGGGAGGCCGAGGCAGGGGGAUCGCUUGAGCACAGGAGUUUGAGACCAGCCUGGGCAACAUUGUGAGGCCCUGUUCCUUGAAUUGCCCUGGGAGAUUUCCUCAGCUUGUGCUGGGGGCAUGUGGCCCCGUGAAGCCCGUAGUCACUGUCCACCCCGAGGGACGCUGGCUUUGGGGCUCACACGCCUACUGCGGGGCAGCCCCAGGAGAUGGCCGCCCUGUUCCUCCCUGGAGCUGGAGCUGCAAUGUGUGCUCAGCAGCUGUGGUGGCUGUUCUGUUUUGUUUGCAUCUUAUAAACCAUUUACCUGAUUACAUUUUCCUCUUCAAUUUAGCUGCUGGAAAAUUUAAAGUCUGGUUGGUGGCUCGCCAGUAAUGAGAGUUUAGAGUAGAGGUAAACUUUAUGACAGUCUUAGACCUCUUCACUUUCUCCUCAGCCAACAUGGUUAACAUUUACUUUAUUUUGCUGUACUGUGUCUUUGUGUUUCCUGAGUUCCUUCUGGAAUAAGGCGGGUCAUUAGUGAGCACAGGUUUCUGGUCGUCUCACAGCCUCAGGCAGUGGGCGGUGCUGUCCGUGCUCCCUUUCCGGUUGCCUGUGGUAGCUCUCAAGUUGCAGGGCUGCGAUUUGAAGCCUGAUGUAGUGCACCAUGUUUCUGUCGUGUUCUGUGGUGGUUUGCUCCUCACGUGUGAGCAUUCACCCUGUGGCCCUGUGUUUUUCCACCACACCUCUGCCUGGUGGCAUCCUACUGGAUGUCUCAGCCGAGCCACUCUGUUCUGGAUGCCCUUGUCCCCAACCCCUUUGCUCUGGGCUCUGAGCUGCUUCUGCCUUUCAUCUCUGUAGGAUGAAGCCCCACCCACCCUUCAGGAUGCCAGCCUUGGCAACAUCGUGAGACCCUGUUUCUACAAAAAGUCAACAAAAUGAACCCAGUGUGGUGGUGCACGCCUGUAGUCCCAGCUACUUGGGAGGCUGAGAUGGGAAGAUCACUUGAGCCUGGGAGGUUGAGGCUGCAUUGAGCUGAGAUCAAGCCACAGCACUCCAGCCUGGGAGACAGAGCGAAACCCUAUCUCAAAAAAACAAAGAAAGUGGAUGCGUGCUGCUCCUGCCAUUGGGUCAUCGCAGCAUUUUUCUUUUCUCUGAUGCGCACCUUUUUCCUCAUCGUGGGGCCUCAUGUUUUCAUAGUUCCCUCUCACUACUGGAUUGUGAGCUGCGUGAAGGAAGGUUCAUAGUUGUGUUGUAUGUACAGGCACACAAAAUUUGUCUUUGGACAGACACAUAUCAAUCCACUUCCUUCUCCUCUCUGAAUUUCUUUAUAUGAAAAAAUAAUUAGAGAUGGAGUCUCACUGUCUUUCCCAGGCUGGUCUCAAACUCCUAGGCUCAAGUGAUCGUCCCGCCUCAGCCUAUACUAAUAUGAAUUCCUCUACUAAUGUGAUUGAAAUUAGUGUGACUUCUAUAAAAAUUUUUCUCCCAGAUUGGGCUUCUGUUUUGAUAGUAGAAGUAAAUUAUUAGGCUAUUUCAAGAAAUUAAUAUAUUACUGGUAGAAAAACUGAAGCUACAAAAUGGCCUGGUUUCUCACCUCAGUUAAAUUUGUGCUUCUGAGUGUUUGUAUUGUAGGUGAAACUGCACUGAGAAGGUAUUUGUGGCCCGUACACUGAUUCCUUGAUGAGACUUGUUUGCACAGGAGAGUUGCUAAAAAUUACUGCUCUCAGGGAGGUCUGUGGUAAACAGGUAUGAAGAAGAAAACUGUUCUCUGCCCUUCUUUUUGCAAUAAAAUGUUACAAACUAUCUUGAGUUCGAUCCCUUUUCAGGUGUUUGGGUUUUUUUUUUUUUAAACAUUCACAUAUUUCUUGGAAUCAUAAAAAAUUAACUUUGUGCUUCUGAAGUAGGUUUGCCUUAAUAUAACACUGAUGUAUUUGUAAGGGGCAUUUUUAAAGCUGUACUUUAAAAAAUAAUAAUUCUUACAUUCUUUUGAA